CAGGAGUAGAAUCGUGAUCUGACUGAGGGUUCUCCACCCUCAGAUUAGUCAUUCCGAGAAAGACGGGGCAACUGGCCCAAGUGGCCCGUCCUACCACUGGAUUUUGGAGUUUCGACGACGUUCUCUCCAGUCGCACUGACGCUUGCGGCUGUUGCUGCUGCUGCAUGGCCUGCACCACUUCAGUGAGGCCUCUGACCUGCUGAACCAGUAGGUCGAAUUGCUCCGUGCCAACCACCAUUGUCGGAGGAGGAGGAGGAGCC
RNAcentral lists this long non-coding RNA (260 nucleotides) under Elaeis guineensis (African oil palm). RNAcentral describes it as "long non-coding RNA (EGUI_LNC080419)". The record is from RNAcentral. Lineage: Eukaryota; Viridiplantae; Streptophyta; Magnoliopsida; Arecales; Arecaceae.